UGGAGGAUUAGCUCAGCUGGGAGAGCAUCUGCCUUACAAGCAGAGGGUCGGCGGUUCGAGCCCGUCAUCCUCCACCA
Molecule: transfer RNA, 77 nt
Filed under: Bacillus atrophaeus UCMB-5137
Lineage: Bacteria; Bacillati; Bacillota; Bacilli; Caryophanales; Bacillaceae
Description: tRNA-Val
Rfam family: tRNA
About the family: Transfer RNA (tRNA) molecules are approximately 80 nucleotides in length. Their secondary structure includes four short double-helical elements and three loops (D, anti-codon, and T loops). Further hydrogen bonds mediate the characteristic L-shaped molecular structure. tRNAs have two regions of fundamental functional importance: the anti-codon, which is responsible for specific mRNA codon recognition, and the 3' end, to which the tRNAs corresponding amino acid is attached (by aminoacyl-tRNA synthetases). tRNAs cope with the degeneracy of the genetic code in two manners: having more than one tRNA (with a specific anti-codon) for a particular amino acid; and 'wobble' base-pairing, i.e. permitting non-standard base-pairing at the 3rd anti-codon position.
Source: RNAcentral